UACAGAGGGUGCGAGCGUUAAUCGGAAUUACUGGGCGUAAAGCGCACGUAGGCGGCUUGGUAUGUCGGGUGUGAAAUCCCCGGGCUCAACCUGGGAACUGCAUCCGAAACUGGAUGGCUUGGAUUUGGGAGAGGGAUGCGGAAUUCCAGGUGUAGCGGUGAAAUGCGUAGAUAUCUGGAGGAACACCGGUGGCGAAGGCGGCAUCCUGGACCAAUAUUGACGCUGAGGAGCGAAAGCCAGGGGAGCAAACGGG
Molecule: ribosomal RNA, 253 nt
Filed under: uncultured bacterium
Lineage: Bacteria
Description: partial 16S ribosomal RNA
Rfam family: Bacterial small subunit ribosomal RNA
Source: RNAcentral